AGAAUAGAGGUAUUUAAUGAUGAUCUUAGCUUAGAUUAAGGGAGAGAUUUGUAGAAAUAAGGAGAAAUUUGUGUGAAAUUUUGAGAGAAUGUGAUAGAAACAAUUGCUGUGGAAGGUUGGAACGUGUAGACAAUGAAAAGAAAAGAAGAAAACACUGUCUGCAUGUGAUUUGUAGCAGCUGCAUUAUUGAGGUAAUGGCUGUUAAUGACCGUUAACGGCUGUUACACAUGCAACCGGAAUUUGCUGAUAAAUAACGGGGUAAUGGGUAACGGGGCCUUGAAAAACCUGUAAGUAAUGUAACGACCAUUAUUUGAUCACUUUUAACUAUCUUCCAGGUUACAUGAUUUCCAUUCUCUAACCUUCUUCACUUUAACAAAAUUUUUGGAUCAUCUCCUAUGAUGAGGUUUUCUGUCACGCUAUAGUUGUGUAACUAUAGAUUAGUGAUUUUUUUCAUAAUCCAGAAGAUAAAUUCCCUUCUUGUUUUAUAGUACGUGCCUUCCUAUUAGUAUUAUCGUGUGGUCAGUGAGAAGCAAGGAUGUUUCCAUUUUUCUACUGUUGAUGCAUUGCUUGGGGAUCUCACUGUACAUUUGACAUGAGAGUCUUAACUUCAUGGCCUGCAGUUUACCAUCUUAACCUCUAAAUGGCUAUGGGCCGCAAUUAUGCCAUCAUGCUCCAUAAUUAGUGAUGUCAGAUUGUUUUACUAUCAUUGGGCAUAUGUCGACCUUCAGAUGUUGAAUCUUUAAUGCAUGGCAUUCUAUUCAUGAUGUGUAAUUCUGCCAUUUAUCAUCAAAUUAUAAGAUACUUGUUUUAAGAUGCUGAAAUUUUAUGAAUGGUUAUAGUCAUCUGAUGCAUAAUGCGGUCAUGUAUCAUUUGUCAGCAAAUUACAGCAAACAGAUUCAUUUUGGCUCCCUUUCUCUAACUUGCUGCUUUUCAUAGAAGCAUAUUUUAGUCUUGAUUACCUACUCUUGAAAAAACUGUCUAGGUGGCUAUUCUGUUUCAGAUCUGAAGAUGAAAGAUAUGAA
RNAcentral lists this unclassified non-coding RNA (1022 nucleotides) under Hevea brasiliensis (rubber tree). Lineage: Eukaryota; Viridiplantae; Streptophyta; Magnoliopsida; Malpighiales; Euphorbiaceae. The record is from RNAcentral.